This 97-nucleotide signal recognition particle RNA is filed under the name Bdellovibrionales bacterium. RNAcentral describes it as "signal recognition particle sRNA small type". It matches the Rfam family "Bacterial small signal recognition particle RNA". Rfam says of the family: The signal recognition particle (SRP) is a universally conserved ribonucleoprotein involved in the co-translational targeting of proteins to membranes. Archaeal SRP consists of a 7S RNA and homologues of the eukaryotic SRP19 and SRP54 proteins. The record is from RNAcentral. Lineage: Bacteria; Pseudomonadati; Bdellovibrionota; Bdellovibrionia; Bdellovibrionales.
UUAGGUCGUUUGGCAACAAACGACUCCCAACCCAGUCAGGUCCGGAAGGAAGCAGCUGCACGGAGCCCUCUUUGGGUGCUUUUUUUCGACCUAAGCG